RNAcentral lists this unclassified non-coding RNA (306 nucleotides) under plant metagenome. RNAcentral's name for it is "partial contains 5.8S ribosomal RNA, internal transcribed spacer 2, and large subunit ribosomal RNA". The stretch from base 1 to 105 matches the Rfam family "5.8S ribosomal RNA", at positions 50 to 154 of the family's 154-position model. The record is from RNAcentral.
GAAAUGCGAUAAGUAGUGUGAAUUGCAGAAUUCAGUGAAUCAUCGAAUCUUUGAACGCACAUUGCGCCCCUUGGUAUUCCAUGGGGCAUGCCUGUUCGAGCGUCAUCUACACCCUCAAGCUCUGCUUGGUGUUGGGCGUCUUUGUCCCGCCUCCGCGCGCGGACUCGCCCCAAAUUCGUUGGCAGCGGUCCUUGCCUCCUCUCGCGCAGCACAUUGCGCUUCUCGAGGUGUUGCGGCCCGCGUCCAGAAAGCAAUCGUUACCGUCUUUGACCUCGGAUCAGGUAGGGAUACCCGCUGAACUUAAGC